This is a non-coding RNA of Pelobates cultripes (western spadefoot toad), 1792 nucleotides long. Lineage: Eukaryota; Metazoa; Chordata; Amphibia; Anura; Pelobatidae. The record is from the annotation of a GenBank genome assembly.
GGGACAUAAAAAAAAUCUGUAUAUAGUGCAAGAAGAAUUUAUAAUAAGUACUUAAAUCUAAAGGAAAAUUAUGUUCUAUAAUAGUUACACACAGUGACGUGAUUGGUUGGCUAACAUUUCCUAAAGAUCUGUUUGAGAACAUGUAUGUAUAAUGGUUUGGCAAAGGUCUUGGACUAAAAUGUUUUUGUAUAAUGUUUGAUGGAAUACAAGUCUUACUUUUGAUAACAUGCGUACUUCUAAUUUUUAUUUGGAAUGUUAACUUUAAAGAUUCAAAUGUAUAACAAGAAGGAAGCAAAUAAAUUAAUAUAUAUAAAUACAUGAAAUUCUGAUGGUUGAUUCAGAUUAAAUAUUUCACAAUUCAUUGAGUUUUCUAACUUUUGAGUUUGGGUGCUAUGCUUACUUAAAAGAGGCGUAUCAUCAAAAAUGUAAAUUGGAAAUGUAUAUUGGGCACAGGGUUUCAAGACUUAUAGAAGUUCAGGAUAAUUCUCAUAAUAUUGCUGUUCUCACCUAUUCAACAUGAUGAUUAUUAGGAGAAGAAGGGGCCACCAAGAGAUCUCCAACAAAUGGUGUGGGAAAUAUUUAUAUCUGGAAUCUAAAACAAAAUAUCUAGAUUUGGCACUUGGGUUCCAAGACUUUUCAGGAUAAUGCUAAUAAUGUUGUCGAUCUCACAUAUUCUACAUGAUGACUAAUAGGAGAAGAAGAGGCCACCAAGAAGUCUCCCACAAAUGUUGUGAGAAUAGGGGCUUCACCAAUAUCUUUUGUUUGGUAGGUAAAGUGAAGAAUUGCUGCUGAUUUAAAUUGCUUUCCAUAGAUAUAAGCUGUGGGAAUUGGUGUGAUAGUCAUGUGAUUGCCUCCUAAUUUAACGGGAGUUCUUGAGGCUAACACUUUGAGUUUUGUAUUGAAUUUAUCUCUUUUUCACUGUUUGCCUGCAGCUACAUAGCUUUUUCCAUAACUGCAUUUGUGGUGCUUGAUAUUGACUUAACUAAUUGGCUUCACAGUGGUGAUCGUGGUCAGUUUAUUCGGGCAUCCAAUUGCUUUUAUUAUAAACAGUUAUUUAAACAGUUGGUGUUGGUUUAAAUGAUACCUUGCUAUAGUAGAGAUUUAGUAUUCAAUUCAGUCUAUAUUGUAGGGAUCACUUGACUAAUAUGGGUCUUUGGGAAAAUGACUAAGCAAGCUUUUCAUAUAUCUUUGAGCAAAGUGAGGUUUCUAAAUAGGGAUUAACACCAACAAAUCACAUGAUCUCCUAUAAGAGUACAUUCAGGGUUAAGAAACAAUAAAGAAUAUGACAUGUUUCCUUCAUCCUAUACUACAGCUAAAAACACAAUAUCAAAGGCUCAAAUAAUCCUCACAGGGUUAUCACUAAAAAAGGAAUUAUUAGGAAUUAGGAGCAUUGCAGAUUUUAAUUGGUUCAUUUGGUAAAAAAAAAUCGAUUGUGAAUUAUUCAUUCUAACUUCUGUCCGUACUCCCACCUCUGAUGCUCACCUUCAAGAUUUCUCGAGGGCUGCACUGUUCCUGUGGAACUCGCUUCCCUCCUCUGUUAGAUGCUCACCCAGUCUCCACUCCUUCAAAAAAUCAUUAAAAACCCACUUCUUCAUAAAAGCGUAUCAAUUAAACUGUUAAUAGCUCCUGACUGAUUCCUCUUCUGCAACUGUCACUAGUCUAAUACUAUCCUUACCUUUUUGUGUCAUUUUACCCCACUCCCUCUAGCAUGUAAGCUCAUUGAGCAGGGCCCUCAACCCCUCUGUUCCUGUGUGUCCAACUUGUCUGGUUACAACUACAUGUCUGUUCGUCC